GCUGCCUCCCGACCACAACAGGCUUACCUGUUGCUGCACUGUGGUAACAACAGUUUGUGAGCGUGAUGUCGCGAGGUUUUCCUUCAGAGGAGCUGCGAACACAGAUGAAAGUGUGAGGACAGUCAUCAUGCUGGACCUUUAAUCUUCAGCUUCUCAUGUGAAGAUGCUGCAAAACAAACAGAGCUGGACAAGAACAGAUGACAGGGAAACAGGGGAUGCUGAAGAUGGAUGAGACCGUCUCUCACGUGCAAGAAAAACCGCCUCGCGAGCCGCCACUCCCCUGCCGGUCUCUGGCUACCACACACCUAAUCAGUCCUGAUUAGAUGCACUGUAAGGGACGAGGAAGCCGGGCUUUCAGAAGUUAUGAUGACAGAACAGAAGAAAGCGAUGGGCUCCCUUAAAUAAAGCCUUCAUCAGGGCAUUGAGCAGAAACAUCUGUGUGUGUUUAUGCCUGCUGGAUUUAACAGUAGUCAGAUCUCCAACUUAUUCCUCUGGUGUCAUCCCAAUUUACCUCUCUUUUCCUUUAACGCCCUUCAGUCCAUAGCUCUUCUUUUAACACCAUCAGCUUCAUAAUCACACACA
Long non-coding RNA from Seriola aureovittata, 582 nucleotides. RefSeq lists it as uncharacterized. The record is from RefSeq and is a predicted model, not a curated record. The transcript has 3 exons. Lineage: Eukaryota; Metazoa; Chordata; Actinopteri; Carangiformes; Carangidae.